CAUAUCUGUCAGUCACGUAUUGCAUUAUUGUUUUUAAAUUAUUAUUUUGGUAAAGUCUGUUAUUUACAAUAAUAACGUAAUAUAAAUCCUUGACUGAAAGAUAGAAUGCCAAAUGCUAAGCACCCAAUUAAGUCAGGUACCUAAAUAGAUAUACAAUUUUAUUAUACACCGUUUGUGGUCAACACAUGUUUGUCAUGUGAACAUUAAUUAGAUACGUAGAAAUGGGGCUGUAAUUACGACGAGUAAAGGAGCAUUGGACCCUAACAAACCUGUAGUUCUCGUAGCCGACGUGGUCGUUGGCCUCGGUGAACUGGUUGGAGACGCGGUACUUGGUGACGAAACCGGGGUAGUGUGCGCACUCGGCGUGGAAGGCAGCGCGGUCGGCGUGCCAGCGCAUGGCCGUGCCCAGCACGCGUCGCAGGAACUGGCCGUAGCGCGCCGCCUCGCCCUCCGAGCACGACAUCACCGAGUACGUGAUGUCGCAGAACAGCUGCACCGCGCACGCCACACCACGCGGCCACAUGCAACCACACCGCCGAUGACAUGAGCAUCAUUGUCGUCGACACCAAGCAGCGUAGAGAAGUUGGGCGUCUUGAGUGAGUGCACCGUGUGCACGAACUCGGCGCAGUAGAGCGCGUCGGCGGCUGUGAACACGCAGCGUGGGAACAGGCACAGCUGCAUGAGCCGCGUCACGGUCUCGUUCUUGG
Molecule: long non-coding RNA, 707 nt
Organism: Galleria mellonella (greater wax moth)
Lineage: Eukaryota; Metazoa; Arthropoda; Insecta; Lepidoptera; Pyralidae
Exons: 3
Source: RefSeq, a predicted model, not a curated record